UUACAUUACUACACACUGCAGGACCACUGCAUUCUUUACCAAGAUGACAAAGAUAAUUAACCUACAAGCAGGUUGAGAAAAUAUGACAUUAGAGACCCAGCAUGCUUGCUUCAUGUUAUCAUGGAUACAGGACUCCUUCUGAGCACCAGCUUUAGCUUCUUCUGUAAGUUAGUUUGUGACUAAUGUAAUAACACUAGAAAUUAUACUAUGGUCUUCUGGUUUAGCUUAGCAAAUUCAAAAAUAGCUUCUGAAUAAAUUACAUUGACUAACCUACAAAUCUGACCUACAUGCUUGUUUUGACUUUGAAGGGCAAAGAAGAAAAUAUCUGUAAACACAUGUAGUAAUAUGAAAGCCGUCACAACACGUGUAUGCUAGAAACAAUCAAUUUUUAUAACAAAAGUUUAAAAGUUAAUGUUAUUUCCUUUUAAAAUCUUAUUUUAAACUCCCUAAGACCGUUUCUGUAAAGAUCUCAAGUGACCUUAUUGCUCUAGCACCAUCAGUGCUGCACUGCAUUCACAGAAUAAUUUGGAUUACUCAAAUACCACUAGCAGCGUACUGUCUUCCUUGUUUGCACGCCUUUUGAGUCAUGUUGUGACUUUUUACAAGAAGGCAAACAAAGCCUAGGUCACAUCCAUCAGAGACUUUUUCAGAAUGUACAUUGAAGAGACAAAACAAAUGCAUAUGCCUUCAAUGUAUGAAUAGCAGUAUAUCUCCAUUUCUAUUUCUACUUAAAUUUUUACAUGCCUAACUUUUUCAGUUUAUAUUUACUUUAAAAUCAGAGUAGAUUUCCUACAUCCCCUUUCAAUCUCUUGCAUAUGAAAUAACUGUGCCAAAUCAGAGGUGAUCGACUCAGCUGUUCUCUGCAACUUGCCCCCCUUGACCUUAGUGAAAUCAGGGGUAACAACAGACCAAGGUUCAAGCCUGACAGACCUCAAGAAUUUACUGGAGAUACAAAGAUUAUCUUUGGUUUGUGCUUUUUUUGUUCUUUAUGCCAUAUGGGGUCACGACACACGAGGGGUGACGACACACUACAAUAAUGACUACAAGAAGGAAACACUUGAGCAAGACAUAAAAAGAGGAAGAAGAGGAUCGAAGACUAAACUGAAAUAUUAUAAAUCAGGAUGGAGAUGGUAUUCAGGAACAGAAAGAUUCAAACGUUGUUCCAGAAGCCUUUCAAAACCAUAUCUAAAUACUGCAACGACGGAAGCAGGAUAAAUCACUCACAGGAAUUUGAUUUAGCUUCAAGUUCUUCCUUGGGACUAAACUUCCAGAACUAUCACCUCUAAUAGAAAACUGCUCGGAAGUUGUAUUUAAUAAAAUUUGAAGCAUACUUCCAUCCAGGAAAGCCUACCAAUACAUUUUGUGGGCUAUGCAGUUCCUAAAAGAAAAACAACAAGUUGCUUUUAUCAACUGUGAA
This is a long non-coding RNA of Cuculus canorus (common cuckoo), 1417 nucleotides long. RefSeq lists it as uncharacterized. NCBI's taxonomy places the organism in Eukaryota, Metazoa, Chordata, Aves, Cuculiformes, Cuculidae. The transcript has 3 exons. The record is from RefSeq and is a predicted model, not a curated record.